RNAcentral lists this ribosomal RNA (253 nucleotides) under uncultured bacterium. Its description in RNAcentral is "partial 16S ribosomal RNA". It matches the Rfam family "Bacterial small subunit ribosomal RNA", at positions 524 to 776 of the family's 1533-position model. The record is from RNAcentral.
UACGGAGGAUGCAAGCGUUAUCCGGAAUUAUUGGGCGUAAAGCGUCCGCAGGUGGCAAUGUAAGUCUGCUGUCAAAGCUUCUGGCUCAACCAGAUAAAGGCAGUGGAAACUACAUAGCUAGAGUAAGGUAGGGGUAGAGGGAAUUCCUGGUGUAGCGGUGAAAUGCGCAGAUAUCAGGAGGAACACCGGUGGCGAAGGCGGGGCGCUGGGCCGGAACUGACGCUGAGGAGCGAAAGCGUGGGGAGCGAACAGG